Molecule: ribosomal RNA, 403 nt
Filed under: uncultured microorganism
Description: bacterial SSU rRNA
Rfam family: Bacterial small subunit ribosomal RNA
Source: RNAcentral
GAGUUUGAUCGUGGCUCAGAUUGAACGCUGGCGGCAUGCCUUACACAUGCAAGUCGAACGGCAGCAUGAUCUAGCUUGCUAGAUUGAUGGCGAGUGGCGAACGGGUGAGUAAUACAUCGGAACGUGCCCUGUAGUGGGGAUAACUAGUCGAAAGAUUAGCUAAUACCGCAUACGACCUGAGGGUGAAAGUGGGGGACCGCAAGGCCUCAUGCUAUAGGAGCGGCCGAUGUCUGAUUAGCUAGUUGGUGGGGUAAAGGCCCACCAAGGCGACGAUCAGUAGCUGGUCUGAGAGGACGAUCAGCCACACUGGGACUGAGACACGGCCCAGACUCCUACGGGAGGCAGCAGUGGGGAAUUUGGACAAUGGGCGAAAGCCUGAUCCAGCAAUGCCGCGUGUGUGAAG